Molecule: non-coding RNA, 530 nt
Organism: Pelobates cultripes (western spadefoot toad)
Lineage: Eukaryota; Metazoa; Chordata; Amphibia; Anura; Pelobatidae
Source: the annotation of a GenBank genome assembly
CCCCAAUUAAAACGCCAAACAAGAAAUACAUAAUAAAUAAAACAAUCAGGGUUGGACAAAAUAGUGUUCUUAGUUCAUUCAGAAAAAAAAAAGAUAAUCUUAUUUUACACAUAAUCUUACUUAAUAAAUGUUUUAUUGCGUAAAAGCCCAGGAAAUGGCCAUUUGUGUAAAACAACACAGGGACUGAUUUAUAAAAAUAUAUUGAUUACAAUGAGAGCUCUCACAGAGAGAAAUCUUGUAAAGCUUGUACAUGUAAAUGCAAAACAAGCAAUUCUAGGUUAAAGUAAAGGUACCACUUUUCUACUAUUAGAGUUACUCAAACCAAAAAACUGUGUUUUCAUAAAACACUGUUUUGGUUAGAGCAGAGUAGCCCUUGCUAUGCUGGUCCACCCCUCUUUCCCUCCAUAAAACUUAAAAAAGAAAAGUAUAAUUUUACCACCAUUCUAAUGUCGAAGCCAAGUUCUCCUCUCCUGCUAUCACUCCCUCUUUGUUGUAGGGCAGUGGUCCCCAACCCAGUCCACAAGUACCCC